Raphanus sativus (radish) is the source of this 689-nucleotide long non-coding RNA. RefSeq lists it as uncharacterized. The record is from RefSeq and is a predicted model, not a curated record. Lineage: Eukaryota; Viridiplantae; Streptophyta; Magnoliopsida; Brassicales; Brassicaceae. The transcript is spliced from 2 exons.
CCACGAACUGUUAUGUUUGGAGUCUAUUUGUCCAGAAGGAAUUGAUCAAUUUAAGCCACUUAUUGAAGAUUUUAUAUAUCAAAAAGCUGAUAUCCACAACUCUGAAAGUUCACGUGAGAGAGAAAAGCUAUCGUUACUUUACAUAAGGUUCCUGCAUCGUUUUGGAGAUUAUGAUGACCUUAUGAUUGCUAACUGGCAGCAUGCGAUAGUCUUUUUGGAUCCCCGGAUCAGUUCAGAGCAAAACAGGCAUGGGGCAGAUAAGGUUCUCACUUCAUAUAUGAUGAAAAGGGUAAAAAUUAAGAAUGACGCACAGCUUCACACUUCGCGGCAAGCUCAAGAUGGCCCUGCACAAAAACAUCAGUGGCACCCUGCCUAUCUCCACCCGCCACAAGCAUUAACACCUGCUUACGGCGCAAAUCCUGCACGCCCUCAAACUUUGCAAGCCGCUCCUGCACAAUCACAUCAGUGGAACACCACUGCCUAUGGCCAUCACGCUGGCUAUAAUAUUGUUUAAUCAACGGGGUCUUUAGAAUGUUGUUGUGUAGUUUUUUUUUUGACAACUUGUGGUAGUCAUACACGCCAAGUCACGAUUUUAUACUUGGUUCAGGAAGUUUUACAGAGAGCAUAGUAGUCGGAUUCAUCAUAUGGUGUAUGGAUAAGUUAAUUACUAACUAAUUCCAGUUUCAAGA